GACGAACGCUGGCGGCGUGCUUAACACAUGCAAGUCGAACGAAGUGACGAAAGGGUGACUAAUACGUGAGUAACCUGCCUUCCCUUACGGGUUAAGCCUUGGACACGGGGUCUAACAUCGAAUCAAGGGGGAUGGGGUAGCGGCCUAUCAGCUUGUUGGGUGGGUGAUGGCCUACCAAGGGGGUGCCGGGUAGCCGGCCUGAAAGGGUGACCGGCCACAUUGGGACUAGGGUACGGGCCAGGCUGCUACUGGGGGCAGCAGUGGGGGAUAUUGCACGAUGGGCGAAAGCCUGAUGCGGCGACGCCGCGUGGGAAAUGAAGGCUUUCGGGUUGUAAACCGCUUUCGCUAGCGAACGGGUAGGUGGAGAAGAAGCGCCGGCUUACUACGUGCCAGCAGCCGCGGUAAUUC
RNAcentral lists this ribosomal RNA (408 nucleotides) under uncultured bacterium. Its description in RNAcentral is "partial 16S ribosomal RNA". It matches the Rfam family "Bacterial small subunit ribosomal RNA", at positions 28 to 526 of the family's 1533-position model. The record is from RNAcentral.